This 217-nucleotide long non-coding RNA is filed under the name Citrus maxima (pomelo). Its description in RNAcentral is "long non-coding RNA (CMAX_LNC003968)". The record is from RNAcentral. Lineage: Eukaryota; Viridiplantae; Streptophyta; Magnoliopsida; Sapindales; Rutaceae.
UCCACUCCAUAAUGACACUUUGUUGCUCUCACACAACUUUUGAUGCAAUAACCCAUGUGACUCCCGUUUGUCUUUUGUUAAAGUCCUGGUCGGUGUGCUUUACUUUUGUUAAAAUCCUUGUCGGUGUGCUUUACUUUUGUUAAAGUCAUUAUAGGUAUGCUUUAUCUUUUGUAAAAGUCCUAAUUGGCGUGCUUUGCUUUCAAAAAAGGUGUGCCUU